GUUUCAGUCUUCUGUUUCCAUCACCCACACAGGCAUAUUCAAGAGUUCCUGCUACAUCGAUGUACGCUGGUUUCCCUUUGAUGUGCAGCACUGCAAACUGAAGUUUGGGUCCUGGUCUUACGGAGGCUGGUCCUUGGAUCUGCAGAUGCAGGAGGCAGAUAUCAGUGGCUAUAUCCCCAAUGGAGAAUGGGACCUAGAAUCCCCGGCAAGAGGAGUGAAAGGUUCUAUGAGUGCUGCAAAGAGCCCUACCCCGAUGUCACCUUCACAGUGACCAUGCGCCGCAGGACGCUCUACUAUGGCCUCAACCUGCUGAUCCCCUGUGUGCUCAUCUCCGCCCUCGCCCUGCUGGUGUUCCUGCUUCCUGCAGAUUCCGGGGAGAAGAUUUCCCUGGGGAUAACAGUCUUACUCUCUCUUACUGUCUUCAUGCUGCUCGUGGCUGAGAUCAUGCCCGCAACAUCCGAUUCGGUACCAUUGAUAGCCCAGUACUUCGCCAGCACCAUGAUCAUCGUGGGCCUCUCGGUGGU
This 524-nucleotide small RNA is filed under the name Pan troglodytes (chimpanzee). Its description in RNAcentral is "retained intron". The record is from RNAcentral. Lineage: Eukaryota; Metazoa; Chordata; Mammalia; Primates; Hominidae.